CCUACGGGAGGCAGCAGUGAGGAAUAUUGGUCAAUGGACUUAACCCUGAACCAGCCAAGUCGCGUGCGGGAAGACUGCCCUAUGGGUUGUAAACCUCUUUUGUCAGGGGGCAACGCCGGCUACGUGUAGCCGGACUCAGAGUACCUGAAGAAAAAGCAUCGGCUAACUCCGUGCCAGCAGCCGCGGUAAUACGGAGGAUGCGAGCGUGAUCCGGAUUUAUUGGGUUUAAAGGGGGCGUGGGCGGAAUGCCAAGUCAGCGGUAAAAUCGGCGGGCUAAACCUCGCUCAACGGGGUGAAGUGCAAGUGAUACUGGCGUGCUGGAAUGCGGAUGAGGUGGGAGGAAUGUGUGGUGUAGCGGUGAAAUGCAUAGAUAUCACACAGAACACCGAUUGCGAAGGCAGCUUACG
Molecule: ribosomal RNA, 407 nt
Filed under: uncultured bacterium
Lineage: Bacteria
Description: partial 16S ribosomal RNA
Rfam family: Bacterial small subunit ribosomal RNA
Source: RNAcentral